This 593-nucleotide long non-coding RNA is filed under the name Homo sapiens (human). Its description in RNAcentral is "HSALNT0162593". Lineage: Eukaryota; Metazoa; Chordata; Mammalia; Primates; Hominidae. The record is from RNAcentral.
CAGGCGCACACUCCCUCCCCGCCCUUGCAGUGUCCUUUAGUCCUUCGUGAAUAAAUCGAAAUUAAAUGAAGCAAAUGCUUUUUUGAAGGCAAAUUUGGUGCCAAGGACCAUCCUAAGUGAUUCAGAUGGCCUCACAAGGAUUGAGUUAAUAGGCCGGGAGCAGUGGCUCACGCCUGUAAUCCCAGCACGUUGGGGGCCGAGGCGGGCGAAUCACGAGGUCGGAAGAUGGAGAGCAUCCUGGCUAACACGGUGAAACUCCUUCUCUACUAAAAAUACAAAAAAAUUAGCCAGGCGUGGUGGCUCGCGCGUAUAGCCUCAGCUAUUCGGGAGGCUGAGGCAGAACUGCCUGAACCUGGGAGGCAGAGGUUGCAGUGAGCCGAGAUCGCUCCACUGCACUCCAGCCCGGGCGACAGAGCAAGACUCCGUCUCAAAAAAAAAAAAAAAAAAAAUUGAGUAAAUAAAUAAAUGGCAGAACCCAGAUUCUUUUUUUCUUUUCUUUUUUCUUUGAGACAGGGUCUGACUCUGUCGCUCAGGCGCAGUGGCGCAAUCUCGGCUUGCUGUAACCUCUGCCUCCUGUGUUCAAGCGAUUCUCC